GGAUCAUUACCGAGUGCGGGCCCCUCGGGGCCCAACCUCCCACCCGUGUUGCCCGAACCUAUGUUGCCUCGGCGGGCCCCGCGCCCGCCGACGGCCCCCCUGAACGCUGUCUGAAGUUGCAGUCUGAGACCUAUAACGAAAUUAGUUAAAACUUUCAACAACGGAUCUCUUGGUUCCGGCAUCGAUGAAGAACGCAGCGAAAUGCGAUAACUAAUGUGAAUUGCAGAAUUCAGUGAAUCAUCGAGUCUUUGAACGCACAUUGCGCCCUCUGGUAUUCCGGAGGGCAUGCCUGUCCGAGCGUCAUUGCUGCCCUCAAGCCCGGCUUGUGUGUUGGGCCCCGUCCCCCCCGCCGGGGGGACGGGCCCGAAAGGCAGCGGCGGCACCGCGUCCGGUCCUCGAGCGUAUGGGGCUUCGUCACCCGCUCUAGUAGGCCCGGCCGGCGCCAGCCGACCCCCAACCUUUAAUUAUCUCAGGUUGACCUCGGAUCAGGUAGGGAUACCCG
Molecule: ribosomal RNA, 502 nt
Filed under: fungal sp. LP5_4254
Lineage: Eukaryota; Fungi
Description: eukaryotic LSU rRNA
Rfam family: 5.8S ribosomal RNA (bases 150-303)
Source: RNAcentral